UUAAUUGUUAGUAUUCGAGGAGGAUGGCACCCCAUGAUUCAUCACUUGUGUCAGUUUGUAGGAUGCGUUUGCCAUCUGUGAUCAAAAGUUGAUCACAGAUGGCAAACGCAUCCUAGGUGUGUCAUGAUGUAUAUUUACUUUUACUUUUGUAAAAGAUAGGAAUCUUAUCCUAUCUUCCUGAGUUUUCUCCUAUAUAAGGAGUUCUCUCUUCUCUUGUAAGAUAUAGAAGUUUGAAAGAAAUAAACUCGUGUGUUGCCGAGAAGGUUCUUGUGGAGCACUGGGAGGUGGUUUGAAAGUCAGUCUGACAGUUCCAUCCUGUCGUCCAAACCCAUUGUGGAAAAAUAAGUCUUUCUUCAUUAAGUCGGUCACGCCAUUUAUGGGAUGGAAGAUCUUUCAUUGAGUCGGUCAUGCCAUUUAUGGGAUGGAAGAUCAUCAAAUGUGAACCAUGGACCAUUGGAUGGUUUUUGACUGGGGGAACUAGGCUGGGUUUGAGCUGGAGGAGGUUGGUUUGUUGCCGAAGAUUCAGGUNNNNNNNNNNNNNNNNNNNNNNNNNNNNNNNNNNNNNNNNNNNNNNNNNNNNNNNNNNNNNNNNNNNNNNNNNNNNNNNNNNNNNNNNNNNNNNNNNNNNUGCUCGCAAAGUUUGUCAAGGCAAGUUUUUGGCAAGCUGAAAGAUUUUGCCAAGGGAGAUGUUUUCAACCUUGCAGUUAGGGUGAAGUACGUGGCGUUGUUAUACCAGAACUACAACAGUUAAGACUGUUCUUAGGACCAGUAGUCCGCAAGCUCGGGUUUCCAGCCGAUAUACUUUCGCAAAACUUUUAAAACAUUUUUUCUCGGGUUAUACAACCCAAAACAGACUUUCCUUUAGUCUAAAACAGGGUACCAAACCAGAUAAGAAAUGAUCAAAAGUUUUCUGAUGCACAGGAUCCUUAGAAAAGGCAAGUGCAGAGCAUACUUCCUUAGGUUUUCAAAAUGAACAGAUUUAAUUCUUUAUUCUUUUUUCCGUUUCUAAAACUUCAUUUGCAGAGAGAGAAGAGGGGUUUAGGGAGUCAUGGAGAAAAACACACGAGUUUAUUUCUUUCAAACUUCUAUAUCUUACAAGAGAAGAGAGAACUCCUUAUAUAGGAGAAAACUCAGGAAGAUAGGAUAAGAUUCCUAUCUUUUACAAAAGUAAAAGUAAAUAUACAUCAUGACACACCUUUAAUUAUUACAAAAGGACAAAAGAUGCUUUAAUAAUUAAAGCAUAACUUUUGACAAAAGCAAAAGCAAAAGCUUAAAGUAAAAGCAAGCUGUAAUGAUUACAUAAGACAAAACAUAAGAAGACAAACUACUUUUAUGGAGAGGAUAGAUUCAUGUAGUCAUCUUCAGAGGAGCUUUCUGUCGCAUCGGGGUCCGUGUCACCAGAGUGCUUUUGGAAAAAAGAUUUGGAGAGCUUGAGCUUGGGAUGUUUGCAGGAGGGACCACGGCAUGGGGGAUGAGGGCAAUUGUAUUCCCUUGGAGUACCCUUUGGAGUAUAUUUUGGGGAAGUUUGGGUGGCUUUGUCGGCUUGAGAGGGUCGAACUGGGGUAUUGGAAGGUCGGUGUGAUGGUCCUGGAGCAGAAGGGUCAGGUUCAUCUAGUGUAGGUUGGGGGAAUUGGUGAAGGUGUUGGCUGAGAGGAAGGAAGUCUUCCCAAGGGUCCUGGGAGUCUUGGUAGAGGAAGUCAGUGUAGUCUGGACGUUCUUCCUUAAUGACAAUUCCUGUGGACUUAGGUUUAGAGGUGGCUGAAGGAGUCGGGAUCAUAAGGAUUUCAUGUUGGGGUCCUAAGGAGGUGUGUGAGAUAUUUUUCAGUGGGGGAGGUUUGUGGUUUAGUUGACAAAGGUAAUUAUGCAGAACAUUUUGAAGAUCAUUGUCAAUGAUAGCUAUAUGUGGUGCAGUGAACCAUUCAUAUGCUUGAUCUUGAGUCCAGAAGAGGUUGGUGGCUGGAUGUUGGAAGUAGGGCCUGUGAAUGAUGAAAACUGUUGUCCAUAAUUUUGCUUCAGAGGUAGGCAUACGAUCAAGGUUGUGAAUUUCUGAGAGCUGUUGAAGCUUCUUUCUCCACCAUGGUAUUGGGGAGAACCAUUCAAGGAGCGUCCAGGUAAGGGAGGUAGCAUUGUCGGGAUGAAGGAGAUGUUCCAGUGUGGGAGUAACUGGGAGGAUCAACUUGGUUGCAUAAAGGACUGUUAGGCACCAGAUGUACCAUAACACGUCUUCAGUGGUGUCUCUGGAUGGAUCAAGGGUUAAACCUGUAGAAAACAUAUUCUCUGGGUGGAAAGAGGAGAAAGGGAAAGGGUCUGUGACAAGAUAGGCUUUCAUGAAGAACCAAAAAAGAGCUUUUCUUGCAAAUUCUUGGAUAUCAAAAACAGAAGAGAAGGUUUUGUUGAAGGGAAAAGUCUUUUUGGUGAGAGCUUCUGAGGGAAGGGAUGUAGCCAUGGAGAUUAUCGGAAAGUGAUAUGUGGUGGAGAACAGGGUGAGAGGUUUUUCUGGUUUUGAAAGUCUGGAUAGCAUAUCAGGGAUGAGGUUCUGGGACCCCUUUAUAUGCUUAACCGAAAAAUCAUAUUUGGAAAACCAAUCCUUUAAUCUGAGUAACAUUUUCUCAGGAACAGUUUUACCUUUGAAAUUGAGAAUAUUGGGAAAGGCUGAGCUGUCCAUUCGGAUGAGAAAGUGGUGUCCAAUCAAAUGAUACUCAAAUUUUUUGAUGCCAUUUUUUACGGCGAGGAUUUCUUUGAACACACUAUGGUAGUGCCUCUGAGUGUCAGAAAAGUGGCCGCUAGCAUGAGCAAUAAAGUGAUCCUUAUUAUUAAGUUCUUCGAGGAGGAUGGCACCCCAUGAUUCAUCACUUGCGUCAGUUUAUAGGAUGCGUUUGCCAUCUGUGAUCAACUUUAAAGGAGGCGGAUUUUGCGCGAUCUGUUUGAGAGUAGUGACAGCAGUGGUGUGGUCAGCAUUCCACUCGGGGGGCUUCUUUUUUAAUAAAGCCGAAAGAUGAUGAGUGUGGUGGUCCACAUGUGGAAUAAAAUCACGGAUGUAAUUGACGAUGCCGAGAAACUGUUGGACUUGUCUUUUGGAAAGUUGCUGAUCUGGAAAGUGAAGCAACUCUUGGGCAAUGUGUUUUCCAGGCUGGUAAUGACCAUCUGUGAUGACCAUACCAAGGAAUUCAAUUUUGUCAGUAGCAAUGGUGCUUUUCUUGGCUGAUAGCAUAAUUCCAUGAUGUUGAACAAUAUCAUAGAACUGAGUUAACAGCUGGCGAUGUUCAUCGUGGGAUCCUGAAAAAAGCAAGAUAUCAUCAAUGUAAAUUAAUGCAUGAUGCAGGAUAGGCUCAAAGAUUUUGACCAUGGAUUUUUGGAAAAUGGACGGGGCUGUUUUGAGACCGAAAGGCAGAAUUGUCCAUUGGAAAUGGGCAUUGGGGAUACAAAAGGCAGUUUUGGAACGGUCAGAGGGUUCAAUGCCUAAUUGCCAGAAACCUGAUUUUAAAUCGAAUUUGGAAAAGAUCUGGGCAUUUUUGAGAAAAGUAAACAUGCUUUGUCUGCGGGGUAAUGGAAACUUGUCAUCUUGUAAAAACAUGUUUAGGGGCUGAUAAUCAAUGACUAGGCGUUUCUUUCCUCGGAUAAUUUCAGAAUGUUUUUCAACAUAAAAGGCUUGGCAAGCCCAUUGAGAAUUUGUGGGCUCAAUUAAACCUUGGGCUAACAAUUGUGAACAUUCUUGUUGAGCUAGGAGUAAGUCAGAAGGACUCAUUCCUGGGUGAGUGGCCUUGGUUGGGUUAAUGUCUUCAUUGAGCUUAAAAGGGAGCUUAAUGAAGAAAGACUUAUUUUUCCACAAUGGGUUUGGAUGGGUAAACUCAGAAUGGGUUUUGGGACAGAAACUCAAAAGUUUAGUGGAAAUAUCCUGGUAGGACUGGGGUGUUUCAGACAGAUUGUAGAGUUUCAGAAUGUUUGUGUAUGGUUUGAACAUGGACUUGACUCGGAUUCCAGUGGGAAUGAUUUGGAGGUGUUUGAGCUGGUGGAGGACAUCAAAACCUAACAAGACAUCCUUAUCAGGAAGGGUGGAACCGAUAACUUUGGUCCAAAUGACACAAUUGGGAAAAAGUUGAAUACCAAUGGGUUUUUUGGUAAUCAAAGAAGUGGAUAAGACUUUGCCAUUGACAGCUUUGAAAUGUUCUUCAGACUUGGUCCAAUAUUCGGAUGGAAGAAUAUGGGGAUUUAACAUGGUGCGUUGGGCACCAGUGUCAAUGAGACCAAUUGCUGGAACGGGCCUUUGGAAUUUUGAGGGUAAGAUCUGGAUUUUGAUGGAUGGAAUAGGAACAGUAGUGUCUAGGGACAGUAACUGUUGAUGGAAAAUCACUUGGGACUGAUCGCUGUCGGAAUCAGAGGAAUUUUGUAGUGCGAACACUGUUUCAUCAUUAGGUUCAUCUUGUUCAGAGAAAUAGGAUUCCAGUUCAUCCGUGGCUGGAGAAUAAUCGGUAGUGGCUUGAAGAUGCUCAACUAACCGAAUAGAUUUUUCUCGUUUGUUGGGACAAUCUUUGGCAAAAUGACCUUUUCUUUUGCAGAUAAAACAUCGGCUUGAUUUUCUUCGCUGAAAGUCUCUGGAGGAAGAGGACGUUUUGCGGAAGAAUCGGUAUGGUUUUCUGGAUCUGCGAGGUCUGGAUGAAGAUUCUGGAUUUUUGAAUUUCCUAAAAUGCCUUUUUUUCUUAGGACUGCAAUCACAAUCUUUUUUCUUGUGGCAUUUGAUCUGCAGAUAAGGUUUUUUGCAAGCACUUCGGAAUGGUUCUUUGUCUUUUAACAGUUCUUUGAAAAACUGUUUUUGCUCGCAAAGUUUGUCAAGGCAAGUUUUGGCAAGCUGAAAGAUUUUGCCAAGGGAGAUGUUUUCAACAGCAAGGUUGGAGGCGGUGAGUUGUCGUUGUAUGUCUGGUUGGAGUUCAUCUGGAAGGGAUGAUAGAAAAACAUGCUUCAGUGUGGGCUCGUUGAAUCCAUUAAGCUUAUAGAACAGCAGGGACAUCCGCUUAUAAUGGAAGUCAAGAUCCUUAGCAUUGAGCGAACAACAUUUCAUGUUGAGAUAGUCUCGUCGUGCAGCUUCAAAGACUGCAGAGGGGUCUCCAAGGAAUUGAUCAUGGAUAACCGCAAGAGCACUUGAGACUUCUGGUAAUUGGACAAACUGUAGCUGUCGGUAUUGACCGAGAGAAUCAAACCAAUCUCUUAGAGCACCCGUAAAACGAGUAGCAUAUUCUCUAAGGACUGAUUCAGUCGUAGCUCCGGGUCUGAGCAUUUGGAGGUCAAUCCAGGCAGACAUUUCAUUGAGUCGGUCACGCCAUUUAUGGGAUGGAAGAUCAUCAAAUGUGAACCAUGGACCAUUGGAUGGUUUUUGACUGGGGGAACUAGGCUGGGUUUGAGCUGGAGGAGGUUGGUUUGUUGCCGAAGAUUCAGGUAUGUCUUCGUCAACUUCGGAGGGAAUAUUAACUAGGGUUCGGUAUGAGAGGGUUGUCCGGGAGAAGGCUGAUCAGGUUGGGUCAUCAAGAUUCGGGUGAUAUCAGCAUAGGACUUUUCAGAGUCACUUGAGGAUGGUGAGGAGGCUGUGUCAGAUUCAGUAUGACUAUCAGAAACAGCGAGAUUGGAAUAAGAAGUUUGGUCAUCGGAAGUAAAGGAAUGGUUUACUGUAUGGGCACUAAAUUGAUGCAUGGGCUGUUUAUCUUUGGGUUGAGGGUGUAGUGGCGGUGGAGCUGGCGGAGAUAUCUGUGUAGGAGGAGCUAAAGGUUGACCAGGGAUGGAUAGAGAAGAAGGGUGUAGUGAGACAGGUCGAGGUUGUGAGCGGGGUUGUGGUCUAGGUUUUGGCUUAGGUUUGGGCAGUGGAUUAUCACGAAAAAGAGUAUGGGUCAUGCCAAAGAGUUUAGAUGGAUCAUAUGGUUUGAUGGGGGAAAGCAUAGAGGCAAAAGGAUGAUAAGUUGGACCAACGGAAGGAAUAGGAGGUGAAGAGGUAAAAAGGGAAGGCCUUUCAAUCUGAGCAAGCUCAGUUUUUAGGCGACGGAUUUCUCGUUCUUUUUGAUUAAAUUCUGGACCAUAGUAGCGCUGGGCAAGCAUAGCGCGUAGUUCAGAAUCAAGUUGGGUAAUCCUGGACUGGAGAUUUUGGUGGAUUUGGUGCAUUUGGGUGGUGAUGGAAUCAACCUUUGUCUCAAUUUGUUCAGUUCGUAAACUGAUUUUGUCAACUUUGGAAUGGAUGUUGGACAAAGUAUCAUUCUGUGCCCUGGCAUUUUGGGUUUGCCAGUUGAGAAGAGACUCAAAGGGUUUAGAGGGUUCGAGAUGGCCAGUGGAGGUAAUUGGUGAAGGGAUAAAAGGCUUAGACACAACAUUUCGUUGGGAGUCGGUGUGGGGGUCUAAGGAUGGAAAAGAGGAGGAGUAGGCUGAAGAGGUAGAGGAAAACAUCAUACAAGCCAAAGGUGGGGUUGGAAGUGGGAUUGGGGAUGGAGUCUCAGUUUUGCAAUGUUUGGCAAUCCAUCUGAGUUCUUUUUUGUAAAAGGGUAAUGGAGCCGGUGGAGGUGGAGGAUCCGAUGGUGGUUUGGGAUCAUAGUGGUGACAGGAGGCCGGAGGUUUUUUCUUUUUGGGUUUUCUUUUGGUAGUAUAAUCAUCAUCGUCUUCCCAAUCAUCCCAGCAGGGGCAAGUUGGGUCACACAUGCCUGAGCCUGGGACAUCCCAUAGGAAAUGUCCAUUUUGCUUUGCAGGAUAAACAGGAUAGCCGUCGGAAUUAAAUUCGGAAAUGGGCAGGUCUUCCUGGGCUGUGGGAACAGCCGUAAUCAUUGAGGAAUAAGUAAAGGAAAGCCGAGGAGGUUCUUGUGGAGCACUGGGAGGUGGUUUGAAAGUCAGUCUGACAGUUCCAUCCUGUCGUCUUUCAAACAUGCUUUCAGAUGUCUGAAUUGGAGCUGUAUUAUUAUGGAACUGCUCAUAGUUGGAGAUCCAUUCAAGAGGCAUAAGCUUGAGAAGCUCAUGACGGGGGAUUUGUCUUGGGAUCUGGAUGAUGGUAGGGAUCUGGUCAGAUUCAGCUAACACCAUGAGGGUGUCAGAGUGGUGUUCUGGAGUGGGUAGAUCUAAGGCAUGAUUCUGAAGCCUAUAGACUAGUUGGUGGUGUAAGGUGGCUAUUUUGGCAGAGGAAAUUUGGUCAGCACCUUGAAUUUGGAUUUGAACUUUGAGGGUUGUGGGCAAGUUGGGAUCUUGAAGGGAAAGGUUAAAGUUUGGAUAAAAGGUGAGCAAGACACUUCCUGCAUGGAGGGUUGUGAGGACAGUGCCUAUAACAUCAUCUUGGUACUGUUUAAACCGGGUAUCAAGCAUAGCAAGGCGAGCUGUAACCGGUAAUCCUUUUCGACCAUGAAGGGUAAGGAUUAAUCUGAUGCCGCCAAGAUGAAGAUGGGUAUAACCUUCACGUUUCCAGUGGGAGAGGAGCUCGGAGGGUAUUUCCAGAGUGACAUAUUGCUCAGCAGAGGUUGCUUGGAGAGCACACUGAUCCAGGCGAGAAGACUGGAUAUAUUCUUUAGGAUGGGGGCGUUUGGUUGAGAUGAGGGUGCGGAUACUGCGGGCAAUAGAACUAGGACGUUUGUAAAGCUGAUAGGGACUGAGGAGAGGAUAAGAGGACUCACUAAUUUGGGCAGAUUCAGGGAUAUAGGAAUAUUCGACAAGGUUUUCGAUUUUAUUGGUUGUAUGAGAAGUACAAGAUUUAGGUAAAGAGAGUGUAGAAGAAAGAGUAACCGGAGUUGAAGAUGAAGAGGAAGCCAUGAAGGAGAAAAUCUCUCUGCGUGGUGAAGAUUAGAAAACAAAACAGAAUAAAGAACAAAUCAUACCAUUUUGGAUAAGCAAAGACAAGCUCCAAAAGUUGUAGUACUAUUUUUAUUUUGUCUUUACAAUUAUUACAAUUAUUUAUUUAUUUAUUUAUUUAUUUUUUAAUUUCAAUGAAAUCUCCUCACUUUGGUGAAGGUUCAUCGAAAAAGAAAGUUAUAUCAUAAUAGCACAGUUCUUUGCAAAGCAACUGCGACAAUUUGAUCCUUUUAUAUUAUAAGAUUAAGGGAAAAGAACACAGAG
Molecule: long non-coding RNA, 8067 nt
Filed under: Citrus x clementina
Lineage: Eukaryota; Viridiplantae; Streptophyta; Magnoliopsida; Sapindales; Rutaceae
Description: Citrus clementina (C. clementina) long non-coding RNA (CCLE_LNC000446)
Source: RNAcentral